This 156-nucleotide ribosomal RNA is filed under the name Psilocybe thaizapoteca. Its description in RNAcentral is "5.8S ribosomal RNA". It matches the Rfam family "5.8S ribosomal RNA". Rfam says of the family: 5.8S ribosomal RNA (5.8S rRNA) is a component of the large subunit of the eukaryotic ribosome. It is transcribed by RNA polymerase I as part of the 45S precursor that also contains 18S and 28S rRNA. Functionally, it is thought that 5.8S rRNA may be involved in ribosome translocation. Lineage: Eukaryota; Fungi; Basidiomycota; Agaricomycetes; Agaricales; Agrocybaceae. The record is from RNAcentral.
CAACUUCAGCACGGAUCUCUUGGCUCUCGCAUCGAUGAAGAACGCAGCGAAAUGCGAUAAGUAAUGUGAAUUGCAGAAUUCAGUGAAUCAUCGAAUCUUUGAACGCACCUUGCGCUCCUUGGUAUUCCGAGGAGCAUGCCUGUUUGAGUGUCAUUA